AACUUAGCUAUCUUCCAAUUAUACUGAUGUUUGCAUAGGCUCGUGUUUAAACAUAGACAUACGGCAAGUUUGUGGUGCUAGUAAUUCUAGAUUACAGACAGUUAACUUAGCUAUUUUCCAAUUAUGCAUUCAAGGUUUGCCAUUCUCACUUAGCAUCAGACUUUGUUCUCUUGUUUUGGAAUAGUAACCGAAACAUUGUAUCAUUUCAGGUCAUGAAUACAAUGCAACAGGUUCUGGAGAAGAAACUGAUAUACGUGUAGAACCAUCAUCAACCUGUCCGAUGCUGUAGUGUAUCCAGCCUCGUUAAUUAGAAUACGUCUUGCAGCAUUCCCAUAUUUCCACUAGAAAAAUUUCGGUGGAAUUUAAAUCUAUAGAGAUACAUGUCGAACCAUCUUCGAACAGUCUACAGAUUUCCAUUCGAAAUGCCAUCAUGAUGAAUUCUUAUUCUUGCUUGUUAUCAUUGCCGAACAUUCGGCGAUUUUGCAUAGACUAACGAGAGAACGUUAGUUUCAUUUCUUCAUCCUGCAGUCUUUUUAACACACGCACUCGUUCCUUUAGACGAUUACGUGAAACAGCAACACUAAAUAAUUUGUUUGUUUUUGAACAUCUUUUUAUUUGGAAAAUUUAUCUUAGCCGAAAGAAUAUUUCGGCAUUUAAUUCCAAAUACUCCUCCCUUCUUUCCCAACGACGAUAGACUUUUCGGCGCCACGAACUCGACCGUUUGCAAUCUCAAUAUAUAUUUACAUCUAAAUAAUAUCUUUAAAGUUAAUUAAUAGUAAGUUACUUGUUUUAUUUGUAGUAAUAGGCUAAUCACAAAUAUAUCUAAUUACAUAGGAAACUAUUAGGCAUUGAGACUUAA
Long non-coding RNA from Anneissia japonica, 859 nucleotides. RefSeq lists it as uncharacterized. NCBI's taxonomy places the organism in Eukaryota, Metazoa, Echinodermata, Crinoidea, Comatulida, Comatulidae. The record is from RefSeq and is a predicted model, not a curated record. The transcript is spliced from 3 exons.